Long non-coding RNA from Bactrocera neohumeralis, 15756 nucleotides. RefSeq lists it as uncharacterized. NCBI's taxonomy places the organism in Eukaryota, Metazoa, Arthropoda, Insecta, Diptera, Tephritidae. The transcript has 2 exons. The record is from RefSeq and is a predicted model, not a curated record.
AGAUAAACCUCCAGUAGAUGUACAGCCAGAAAUUCCAUACUCAUGGUUUCGUCGAGAUAAGUUUGCUCAUAAAGAAUUUAAUCACAAGUUUUUAAACAAUAUGUUUGGUCAUAAGUGCUCCGUUUGUGAUCGAUUGUGUUUUAAGUUAGAUUUAAAAUCACCUCGUGCUGAAGAUGAACAAUUAUUAAGUGUAAUAGUUGAAAAUUAUAAUACAUUUGAAGAUAUAUUACUGUGCAACACGUGUUACCAAGCAAUUGGGAGGAAAGUGAUUCCUAUAAUAUCUACUUAUAACGGUUUUAAAUAUGAAAAGACACCGGAGGUUUUACCACCGCUUGACUUAAUUUCUGAAAGACUUGUCUCACCACGAGUUCCAUUUAUGCAAAUUCGACGGUUACGACAUGUUCAUGGGCAAUAUGGAAUUUAUGGACAAAUCAUUAAUGUACCAGUCGAUGUAAAUAAUAUGGUAAAACUCUUACCCCGUAAUGUCGAUGAUGAUUACUGUAUUAACGCACGCAGAAAAAAAAAUACAUAGAUCAAGCUAUUUAAAGCAACUGGUUAAUAAAAGGGCAUUUCGUGCAUGGCUUCAGUAUCUGCUUAAAACUCCAUUUUAUUUAUUUUACGAUAUUAAAAUUGAUGAAAGCUUCUUCAAGAAUGAUAGUAAUAACGAAAUCGAUCUAGAAGAAAUGAGUGAAGAUAUACAGGUUGAAGAAAGUCUAACAGCACAAAGAAAAACUCUACUUUGGAAUGAAGAUAUGUAUUUACGGAUCGCUCCUGGAGAAUAUAACAUUCCCAAAAGUAUAAUUUUUGAUGAACAUGCCGAAAAACUUUCUUUCCCAUCGAUUUAUUUGGGUAAUUUCCGAAAAUUUAGAGAGGGAGUAAAUGCAACACCGUUCGGAAUAGCAACUAGCGAAUUACGAAGAUCAGAUCGGCGUGGAGUUACUCCACAUCAUUUAUUAUAUCUAGCAAUGAAAAUUAUGAGGUUAAGAGUUCGCGACUCUUAGCAAGGCAGCAAGUUUAGUCAGCUGACUACAUUAAAAAUUUUAUCGAAAGUAAUUUAGCUUUCCUACGCUCAAUACCAAAUUCAGUUUGGUAUUGGAGCGAUCGAAAAAUAGAUCUUUUUGCGAUGAUUCGGCAACUAGGAAAACCUACGAUGUUUCUUACUUUGACUGGCAAUGAAAUCGGAUGGACCAAUUUAAUACAAUUAUUGUACAAAUUAAAAAAUAACGGUACUGAAAUUUCAGCUGAACAAGCUGCGUCAUUGGAUUACAUAUCUAAGACUACACUAGUGAAUGAAGAUGCUGUGACCUGUGCUAUCUAUUUUAAUAAAAAAGUCAAUAUCUUGAUAACUAUUCUCCGAUCAAAGAAAAACAGCCCAUUUGGAAAUUAUUAUGUUGUCGACUAUUUUAAACGAAUUGAAUUCCAUCAUCGUGGUAGUUCUCAUGCACAUAAUUUAUUAUGGCUGAAUGACGCUCCAUCAGAUCCUCUUGGUACAAACUAUCAAGAUACUGUAAUGAUGAUCGAUCAAUUGAUAUCAGUUUCUUCAUCAGAAGCUUCUGGACAUAUUCGCUUGCAAAGCCACAAACAUGCCUUUACCUGUUAUAAAAAAGUGCAUGCCAAUCAACCUCAGAAAUGCCGAUUUGAUGCUCCAUUUAUGCCAUGUAAAUCCACUACAAUAUUAAAACCAAUGCAGAAAGAUCAUCCAGGAUAUGCUGAUUAAGCUAAGUGGUAUAAACAAAUACAAAUUAAUCUUGAAAACAAUGAUUACGAGAAUAUUGAAAUGGUUUAUGCACAAAAUCAUAUAACUUCGGAUAAUGAUUAUUUUCAUAUUCUUGAAGCUUGAAUUACCAGACCUAAAGUAUUUUUGAAGCGACAACCUAAAGAAAAAUGGCACAACCCUUUCAAUCCUUUUAUUCUCAAUUUAUUACAAUCAAAUACAGAUAUGCAAUUUAUUAUUGAAGAAUACUCAUGUGCAGCGUUUGCUGUUGAAUUUGUCAAUAAAACUAAUAGGGGUAUAAGUAAUUUACAAAAACAAAUUCAUGAAAUCAUGGACGAAAACCCUGAUUUUGAUUUAGUAGAAUUAAUUAGAAAAAUGAGUGUUAAUAUGCUCAACACUGUUGAAUUAACAAGCCGGGAAGCAGCGUGGUACCUUCUACGUGAACCUAAGUAUGUCUAAAAGUUCAGUCUCCAUAGUUUAUAUUCCCACCGUUUGGCCUAUUGAACAACAGCGUAUUAUACGAACACAAAAAGAAUUAGAUGCAUUAAAUAUCGAUGAAGAUUCAACAAGUAUUUGGAAGGAAAACUGGUUUGAUAAAUACGAGAAGCGGCCACAAGAAAUGGAAGAAUUAUCUCUUGCACAAUUCGUUGCUAAUUUUACUAAAAAUUCUCAAGGUGAUUAUAUUCGUCGAAAGCAACAACGCAUCAUUAUAGGAAUUAUGACAUAAACUCAGAUAUAAAUGAGUAUAAAAGAGAAAUGGUGACUUUGCAUAUUUCAUUUCGGAAUGAAGAAUUCGAUAUUCUUGACGAGAUGAAAUUUAUUAGGAUUUACGACGAAAAUGAAAACCAAAUUCUGAAGCGAUGUAAAGAGUUUGAAUCUGACUUAGACAUUAAUAAAACUAUAGAGCUAUGUCGAAAACUAUGUCGCGAAAAUGAAGAAGCAGACGAUGACGAUGAGAUUCAUGAUAUUGCCACUAGAUUUCCAGAAGCUAAUCCAUUCCAAACGCUAUAUGACAAUCCCAAUUCGGAUGUAAACAGUGAUUUACGUCUCGCGACCCUAAAUAAACUUGGUGCCAUUGCAAAACGGAAAGAAAAUCUAAUGCCUAACGACCAAUAUUAUGAGCUGAUGGAAAUGGCAAACCAAAAACAAAAGGAACUUUUGAUGCACGUCAUUUACAAUCUUCAGUUGGAAGAUCCUCCUCCGCUGCAAAUAUUUUUUACAGGACCAGCUGGAUGUGGUAAAACAUUUUUUAUUAAAUUAUUAAUGGAAAUUUAUAAUCGAUAUUCUGAAAGUGAUGGGUUUUGCAAUGCUUAUAUCACUUGUGCUUCAACUGGUAAAGCUGCUGUGGCUAUCGAUGGGACAACAGUACACACUGCACUGAAUAUAAGUCUUUCAAAGUUGCUUCCUUUAUCAAUUGAAGUAGCCCAACAAUAUAGAUCACUCUUUAAAUAUGUCCAUGUAUUGAUUACCCUGGUCAGCAAAUUUGUAAUUUUUUUUUUGUCACAUGAAAAAUUAUAUAAAAUUUUUAAUAUACUAGGGCCACCAAAUAAUAAUAUAUCAAUGAAAAAAAAAUGUACACAUCAUGUUUUCUUGUGACAUCAAAACAUAUAUUUUCGCAAAAAAUACAAAAUUCAGCCACACUUACAGAAUUAUUUCCUAAUAUCUAAUAGAUACUUAUGAUUUUAUUGAAUAUUUGGCUUCCGGUAGGUCCCUUUAUAUCUCCAACAAUAGUCUGGUAGCAUUCCUUGACUCCAUUUCCCUUGAUAACGCUUCUCCAUUAAGGAAAUGUCUUGAUGGAACCUCUCACCUUGUUCGUCACUCACAGCACCUAAAUUUGCCGGAAAGAAAACCAGAUGAGAGUUAAGCAUAUGUAUUUUCAAGGACUUAUUACACCCCAAAUCUUUAAAUGAUAUCAUAAGUUCAUUUAUUAAAUCUUUGUAAUUUUCCGGUUUAUGGUUACCUAGAAAAUUUUGAACAACAUUCACAAAAUAUUUCCAGGCGAGUUUUUCCUGAUCAUUCAGUUUUUCUUAAAAGCUCUUAUCCUUUAUCAAUUGCCGUAUUUGUGGACUUACAAAUAUUCCCUAUUUGAUUUUCGCCUCGCUGAGUUUAGGGAAUUUCUCUUUUAGAUAUAAAAAUCCAUCUCUAUCUUUUGGACUAGAAUUCUCACUUUUUGAUCGAUUUGCAGGCAUCGGCACAGGCAGUUCGGUACUAUGUAGGAUGGGUCUCUUGGCCGAAGACAAGUUUGGAUACUGGAUAGUGUGGUAGUAAUACCUUUUGUUUGAGUCAAACAAAAAUAGCAAUCACUUAAAUGAUCCUUUGGUUCCGUCCAAAUCAUUGGUAUAGCAAAUGACAAAUGUCUAGGUUCUUGUUUAGCAGAACCUAAAAGAAGCCUCACACACGUUACACAACAUUUAUGUGGAAAACAGGAUUUGUCUUGAUUCCUCACAGGAAAACCAAAAUAGUCUUAAUACCACUCUUCAAUUAGUGAUGUGAAAUUUCGACGCUGAGAUGUAAAAGUUAAUUCUCCACACACAUAACAAAAAUUGUCCGGGUUGUUCAAAUACUUUCGUGGCAUAUUUACGAUCUAACUAAUGUAAAUAAGAUGUAAUUUAGCAAACACAAUAGUUACACAAUCGACGAAAUGCAGUUAUGUACACAAAGAAACGUAUAUGAGGUCAGAAAUGAAUAUGUAGCUGUCACAAGAAAACUGGAUGUGAUAGAAACAAAACUGUAAUAUAUUUUUAAUGAGGGUACACCAACAUAAAUAAAAGUCAUAGCAAAGUUCAUGUGACAAAAACAGUGUUUACCAGUGUUAUCGAUGAAAUCAAUAUGAUUGGAGCCGAGUUGUUUUCCCAAAUAGAUUCAAGGUUAAAGCAAAUCAGCGGUAAUUUUGACGUCAAUUUUGGUGGAAUAGAUAUAAUUUUGAUUGGUGGUCUACGUCAACUACCGCCAGUUCAUCCUACUACCAUUUCUUCUUCUUCUUAAUUGGCGUAGACAUCGCUUACGCGAUUAUAGCCGAGGUAACAACAGCGCGCCAGUCGAUUCUUCCUUUCGCUACGUGGCGCCAAUUGGAUAUUCCAAGCGAAGUCAGGUCCUUCUCCACUUGGUCCUUCCAACGGAGUGGAGGUCUUUCUCUUCCUCUGCUUCCCCCGGCGGGUAUUGCGUCGAAUACUUUCAGAGCUGGAGUGUUUUCAUCCAUCCGGACAACAUGACCUAGCCAGCGUAGCCGCUGUCUUUUAAUUCGCUGAACUAUGUCAAUGUCGUCGUAUAUUUUCAUCGUUCCAUCGUUCAUCGUUUCAUCGAAUGCGAUAUUCGCCGUGGCCAAUGCGCAAAGGAACAUAAAUCUUUCUCAGAACUUUUCUCUCGAAAACUCGUAACGUCGACUCAUCGGUUGCUGUCAUCGUCCAAUCCUCUGCACCAUAUAGCAGGACGGGAAUUAUGAGCGACUUAGAGUUUGGCUUUUGUUUUCAAUUGCCUACUCAGUCCGAAGUAGCACCUGUUGGCAAGAGCAAUUCUGCGUUGGAUUUUCAGGCUGACAUUGUUGGUGGUGUUAAUACUGGUUCCUAAAUAGACGAAAUUAUCUACAAUUUCAAAGUUAUGACAGUCAACAGUGACGUCAGAGCCAAGUCGCGAGUGCGACAACUGUUUGUUUGAUGACAAGAGAUAUUUCGUUUAGCCCUCGUUCACUGCCAGACCCAUUUUCUGUGCUUCCUUGUCCAGCCUGGAGGAACCAGGCGCGGGUGUUGAGGCCGAUGAUAUCAAUAUCAUCCUGAUCCUGACGGAGCUUUUCGUGUUGCUCAACGUCAGUUUACACAGCCGUAUUAGUUUUGCGGGAAUACCAAAUUCAGACAUCGCUUUUCGUGCUGUCGAAAGCAGCGUUGAAAUCGACGAAGAGGUGGUGUGUGUCGAUUCUUCUUUCACGAGUAUUUUCCAAGAUUUGGCGCAUGGUGAAUAUCUGGUCGGUUGUUGAUUUUCCAAGUCUAAAGCCACACUGAUAAGGUCCAAUCAGUAUGUUGACGGUGGGCUUUAAUCUUUCACACAAUACGCUCGAUAGAACCUUAUAUGCGAUGUUGAGGAGGCUUAUCCCACGGUAGUUGGCGCAGAUUGUGGGGUUUCCUUUUUUAUGGAUUGGGCAUAGCACACUUAAAUUGCAGGCGUUGGGCAUGCUUUCGUCCGACCAUAUUUUACAAAGAAGCUGAUGCAUGCUCCCUAUCAGUUCUUUGCCGCCGUGUUUGAAUAGCUCGGCCGGCAAUCCAUCGGCCCCCGCCACUUUGUUGUUCUUCAGGCGGGUAAUUGCUAUUCGAACUUCUUCAUGGUCGGGCAAUGGAACGUCUGCUCCAUCGUCAUCGAUUGGGGAAUCGGGUUCGCCUUCUCCUUUCGUUGUGCAUUCACUGCCAUUCAGCAGGCUGGAGAAGUGUUCCCUCCAUAAUUUAAGUAUGCUCUGGGCAUCGGUGACUAGAUCACUUUUGGGGGUUCUACAAGAGUAUGCUCCGGUCUUGAAACCUUCUGUAAGCCGCCGCAUUUGUUUGUCGGCCAGCUUAUCAAGCUCUUCGUACUCACGCACUUCGGCCUCUUUUUUUUCUGUCUGCAAAUGCGUCUCGCUUCCCUCUUCAAAUCUCGGUAUCUAUCCCAUCCCGCACGAAUUGUGGUCGAUCGUAACGUUUCGAGGUAGGCAGUCUGUUUUCUCUCCGCUGCGACACGGCACUCCUCGUCGUACCAGCUGUUCUUUUGUACUUUCCGAAAACCAAUGGUUUCGGUUGCUGCUGUACGUAAGGAAUUUGAGAUGCCGUCCCACAGUUCCCUUAUACCGAGUUGUUGAGAGUGCUCUCAGAGAGCAGGAGUGCAAGCCGAGUAGAAAAUCUUUAGGCUGUCUGUUGUGAUUGCAGCUUCUCGACGUCGAACUUUCCUUGUGUUUGUUGGCGUGCGUUUUUUGCUGCACAGAGGCAGGUGCGAAUCUUAACUGCAACAAGAUAGUGGUCCGAGUCGAUGUUAGGACCUCGGAGCGCACGCACAUCUAAAACACUAGAGACGUGUCUUCCGUCUAUCACAACAUGAUCGAUCUGGUUGGUAGUUUUUCGAUCCGGAGACAGCCAGGUAGCUUGAUGAAUCUUCUUAUGCUGGAAUCUAGUACUACAGAUAACCAUAUUUCGGGCCCUGGCGAAGUCAAUCAGCCUCAACCCAUUUGGGGAUGUUUCGUCGUGGAGGCUGAAUUUAUCGACCGUAGUGCCAAAUAUACCUUCUUUGCCCACCCUGGCGUUAAAGUCGCCAAACACGAUUUUGACAUCGUGGCGGGGGCAGCUCUCAUAAGCGCGCUCCAAGCGCUCAUAGAAGGCAUCUUUGGUCACAUCGUCCUUCUCUUCCGUCGGGGCGUGGGCGCAAAUCAGCGAUAUGUUGAAGAACCUCGCUUUGAUGCGGAUUGUGGCUAGACGUUCAUUCACCGGAGUGAAUGAUAGUACUCGGCGACGGAGUCUCUCUCCCACCACGAAUCCAACACCAAACUUGCGCUCCUUUAUAUGGCCACUGUAGUAAAUCUCACAAGGACCUACUCGUCUCUGUCCUUGUCCCGUCCAUCGCAUUUCUUGGACGGCGGUGAUGUCAGCCUUUAUUUUUGCGAGGACAUCAACCAGCUGGGCAGCGGCACCUUCCCAAUUAAGGGUCCGGACAUUCCAGGUGCAUGCCCUCAAAUCGUAGUCCUUAUUCCGUUUGCCAUGGUCGUCAUCAAAAGGGGGGUCUCUCAUCCGAGGCGGGUCCCAAGCCCAGCGCACAACCCUAUGUAGGGAAUGUUUCGCCUUCGAACGGAUGUUCUUAGGCUACCCAGAGGAUACUUGAUCAAAGACCGGAAGUAGUAAGCUGCUUGAGCCAUAUGUAAAAGAAUCGUUUCUGGCCACUCCCAAGUGAAUGGCGAUCAGAGAACUUUCCUCACUUGCGUGAACUUCUACACAUGACUCCAUCCUCCAUAUGGAAAGUUACAUAUAAAUAUUUAUUCCACUGAUAAACAUAAUUUUUUAACCUGCACCGACAUAUUUUCAAAAUUCGUCAUCGUUAUUCCAAUUGUAUCAAGGGCAAUUAUUGACGUAAAACAAACUUUAUUACAAAUCCUUAAUUUUUAAUUGAAAAUACGAGGAAUGUGACGGCUGAUAACCAAAAUUCACUGAACUCACAAACAAUAAAGUCCUUUCUUAAGGAUCGUUUUGGAGCAGAAUUUUUUACAACCCCUCCUUUACAUAGCACAGAGAGAUUUCGUACCAUCUUAAUUGAAAUCGCUAGAUGCACUAAGCUAGAACAAGCUAUAAAUGAUACGAAUGAACUAAUACUUCUUGCUACUGCAAGAUAGAUGGAUCGAUUUGAAUUUUUCAAUGCAUUUGGACCUUAAUCGAAAUAAAAGGCAAGUUAAUUAAAGCCCAGGAAAAUUGGCAAGGAACAAUGGCGGUAAACUUACGAGGUUUUUCAAGGCAGAAGACAUAGUUUGUGUUAAGAACAAUAAAAGAAUUCGCAAUAAAUUAACAAAAAAAGCAGUUUUAAUAGGUAAUAGGAAGUUUCAUAAGAGUAACCUUAGUUAAUAAUUUUUGUUUUUUUUUCUCACCUUUACAGAGUUAUUUUACCACUUUUGCGAACUCAGGGGUCCGACAGCAAAAUGAUUAAUUUUACAAAAGCUAACCAAUUAUUGACGGAAAUGUUGCAGUUUGAGACAAAUAUGACUACUUAACCUUUAACUGGUGACAAGCGGUCUCACAGGCCGAGCGGAGUCAGUGAACAUCAUUUCACCCCCUGAUUUUAAUUCCUACAUAGAUUGUAUUAGAAAGUUUGUAAUAGCGAGCCUAUUGAGUAGUUUUAUUUUAUCAUUUUAUAUAUUCAUUUCAUGGUUUAAAGACUGCAGCAAGCUAUCGUCUUAGGCCGCUUGUCACCAGUUAAAUUACACAAAAACCAUGUCACCAGUUAAAGGUUAACGCAUCGAACGAAUUUGACGAAUUACAUCACGGUCUUGCGGGAAAUUAGUGCAAAUCCCAAAAUGUUGGUCAAAAAUUAGCUGAUAAAGUAAAAAAAAUUCUUUGGAAAAGACUGUAGUGCGUCAACAAUUCGCCGUAUCUUACAAUCACAUGAUUUUUGUUGGCGACUUUAUCUCAAGAAGCCAUUUAAUAACCAGAAGAACAGAGUUACCCGUCUGACAUUCGCCAAAAAUCAUGUUUUCAAGGACUCAACAUUUUGGGACACCGUCAUCUCUUCAGACGAGUCCAAAUUUAAUAUAUUUGGUUCUGACGGAAAAUCGAUGAUGUGGCGGAAACCCUAUAAAAACUGUUUGUGAAGAAUAUACAAGGAAGGAAGAGUUAUGGCUUGGGCCUUCAUGGCAGCAACAUACAAAAACAUGUAUCUUACCUUGUACAUCACUGUAUGUAUAUGUUCGCUGUACAUGUCGUUAUUUGUCGAUAUAUAUGUAUGUACAAAAAAUUUUUAAUUUACAAAUAUGUACGUAUAUAUGAAAAGGUUCAAGUUUAAAGAUUUUCUCUAUUUUUGUCUGCUUAUGAUUUGCCUUUACCUUAUUUUAAGCAAUCCUGCUUGUACUUGAUUAAGGUGAGACGAUCCUUAAUCAAGUAUAAGUGUGACCCUCCGAAAAAUCACAUUUAAAAAUGAAAAUCAUAUUUACUGGGUGCAAAAUAGUUAAAUAAAUUGUCGAAAUGACAUGUAAAAGAAGUUCCUGUACGAUGUCCCCGAUUGCGGCUGCAAUUUUGGAUUAAAACUAAAAUUUCAAAAAGAUUAUUAUUAUAUAGGAAAGUCGCUUUCGCGCUAAGGAAACUUUUUUUUGGUUUUUUUAAAAUUUGACAAAAUGUCGAUGGUUUGAACAAAAAUAUCGAAUUUGGCCCUUUUUCGACAGUUUUUCGUAGAAAAAAUAGAAAGAUUUAAAAAAUAUAUAUGUAAACUUCCAAAGCGCGAGAGCUAAUGACGUUUUAACACAUCGGUAAGCAUUUACCGGCAAUCAAUAAUUAAAUAAACCGAAUACUAAAACAGUUUGGAAGUCUUCUUUUAUUUUAUUUGAACGGAUUUUUUAUAAAAACCGCAAAUGUGAAGAUAUUAAACAUACAUACAUAUGUGUAUUGAAAUACACAAAAUGCUAAAUGGAAUCAAUACGACUCACUUUAAUUUCCUUCGGGUGGUUUUGGGGACAAAAUGUGUUUAUCUAUGUGCGUAUGUGUUCCACUCCUUUGCUGUGUUUGUGCUGAUUUAUGAGAGUUGUUGUUGUUUUUGUUUUUUGAUUGCUUAAAUCGCGCCCACUCUUUGCAGUUAUGAUUUUUUUUGCGAUUCGCGUCUGCUAUAAUUUUAGUUUUGUAUUAUUUUUGAACCUCAAAAAAAAUACACGUGGGUGGCCCGAGUGAUUUUGGAUCUUGAUGUUAUCUGAAAUCAAAUAUUCUUGAUUAUUCUUAAUCUAUAGGCAUGUCAUUCUGGUAACUACUGAAGUUAAGUUUCAAGGGUAAAUAACAAAAUGGGGGACUUAGAAAAAAGUUCUUUUAUUUUAGCAAAGACAGGGUUGAAAAAUAAAUAUUUAGGGGUCAAAAAAAUUCUCGUUUGUACCGACGAGAACUAUAAGGGUGUAGAAUAGUCUCUUAAAAUUUAAAAGCAAUCGGUUCAGUAGAAAAAAAGUUAGGACCCGGGCCGACCAGAAAAACAAUGUUUUGAGGAAACUCCGAGGCGCUCUAGGAAACUUGAGACUGUCUGUCUGUCCACCUGUCUGUUCAUCGGGGCAAGCUGUAACUUGAGUAAAAAUUGAGAUAUCUCGAUGAAAUUUGGUAUAUGGUUUCCUUAGUUAAAAAGAAUUUCGAGUUCGUAGUUAGGCGUAAUCGGACCACUGCCAUAACUCAGCACUAAAAUAAGACAUAAAGCUAUAAUUUGGUACAGAGGACCGCUGUAGCAAGGGGCAACUGUGGGAAAUUUUUUUUAAAAAGUGGGCGUGGCCCCGCCCUCUUAACAAGUUUUAUGUACAUAUCUCCUAAGCUACUUAAACUACAACAACCACAUUUGCUGAGUUUACAUCUUAUGAAAACUUCUACUGACAGUGUGAAAAUGGAUGAAAUCGAAUGAUAAUCCCGCUCACUCCUCAUUAAAACGGUACUGUUAAAAACUACUACAAGUGUGAUAAAUAUAUAACUAAAUACGCUAAAGACAUUUAGUUUUACCAUCGAGUUGGUAGGAGAGAGCUUUAUGGGAGCUGUUGCUACGAUGGACGUAGCAUUUUUUGGUGAAAUCCCUUAUCUUGGGUACUAACCAACCGUUUUCGACAAAAUUUAGUACGUGGCUCUUCUUACAUUCUUAUGUCUUCUUGUUCUUCUUUACUGACGUAGACAUCGCCUACGCGAUUAUAGCCGAGUUAACAACAGCGCGCCAGUCGUUUCUUCUUUUCGCAAGGUGGCGCCAAUUGUAGAUUCCAAGCGAAGCGAGGUCCUUCUCCACCUGGUCGUUCCAACGGAGUAGAAGUCUUCGUCUUCUUCUGCUUCCCUCGACGGGUAUUGCGUCGAAUACUUUCAGAGCUGGAAUGUUUUCGUCCACACGUACGACAUGAUCUAGCCAGGGCAGCCGCUGUCUCUUGAUCCGUUAAACUAUGUCAAUGUCGUCGUAUAUCUCAAACAGUUCAUCGUUUCAUCGAAUGUGAUAUUCACCGAGGCCAACGCGCAAAAGGACAUACAUAUUUUGCAGAAUCUUUCCCUCAAAAACUUCUAAGGCCGACUCAUCAGAUGUUAUCAUCGUCCAUGGAAUAAUGAGUGACUUAUAGAGUUUAGGAAUUUACUUCUCAAUUGCCUAUUCAGUCCAAAGUAGCGUAGGAUUUCGAAGCUGAUAUUGUACUUGCUCGAUUAAGUUCUGCAGCUCGAAUUCUUUUCUCCAAGAGCUGAUUGAAGAAGUCGCACGAUAGGGAGUCGCCUUGUCUGAAACGUCAUUUGGUAUCGAACGGCUCGGAGAGGUCUUUCCCGAUCCUGACAGAGCUUUUUGUAUUGCUUAACGUCAGUUUACACAGCGUAUUAGUUUUGCGGGAUACCAAAUUUACACAUCGCGGCAUAAAGGCAGCUCCUUUUCAUGCUGUCAAAAGCAGCUUUAAAAUCGACGAAAAGGUGGUGUGUGUCGAUUCUCUUCUCACUGGUCCUUUACAAGAUUUGGCGCAUGGUGAAUUUCUGGUCGGUUGGUGAUUUUCCUGGUUUAAAGCCACACUGAUAAGAUCCAAUCAGUUUGUAGCUGGUGGGCUUUAGUCUUUCACACAUUCACACAAUACAAUCGAUCCACCAGACCAUGACAACAAAUACACCAGACCCAACCUGCGAAGACAAGAGUAGGACAGCAACCCCUAUAUGGAGACCCUUACACCCUUCAGUCAAUGUGAGUCGUAUCGAUUCCUAUUAGUAUCUUAGCACUGUAUAUGUGUACAUAUGUGCAUGUUUGAAGCCCAUAUUGGCAAUACUAGUUUGAAGUCUUUCAAAACGGUUGUGUAAAAAAUAUAAAUCUAGCUAAACUUAUCUUCGUGUAGUUAAACACACAAAACAAAAAAAAAAAGAGAUAUACGUAUGUAUACAUACCGGCUAAAUACACAACAUAAAAUCAAACAUGCAUAGAUAUUCAAUAUACAUAAUAUAUAAAGUUUAAAACAAACUAUAUACAACCGCGCGAACGCUAAAACUGAAAAACGCGUAUUUCAUUACUUUUAACAGAAAUUAAAGCUCUUAUCGACGUGAAAGAGUUUUACAGUUCUCAAAAUUUAUCCGUUUGCUUUAAAUCGAAAGAAAAAAUUAUAUAUAUGUACAUACAUAUAUUGCCAUUUUUCAUCUAAAUGAACACAGAUUCAAAGGAAUCUAAAUCUCAUCAAUUUCUGAAAAUACCAAAAAUGAUUUCGGAUGAAAAAAGUCCAUGUACACCGGCAGAAGCUACACGCUCGAAGCAAGGUGCUACAAAACAAAAACGGGGUAAAGAUAUUUCGUACGCAACAUUUUUAUCAGAGUGUGACAGCUUAAUACAAUACUGCACUCGAUUCUCAUCUUCGCCGAUUCUAGAUAACUCUGAAUCGGUACUAGAAAUCAAGAAUCAAACCAUUGACAAUUUUUGGACACGUCUCCAAGCGGCCUAUGACGCCAUUGUAGAAACUGACGAUUCGGAUCUUCCGGAAAAUUUCAAAAUCUCGGCUUACUCCAAAUAUGAAAAUUGCCUUGACCAAUAUGAAGAGACAAAAGCCAUGAUCUCUGAUCAAUUAAAAUUAACAAGGUCAAAAGCACCAAAUCCACAACUGAGAGUAGAGCUACCACAAACACAGUCCAAAAAAGCACUUACGCCGACACACGCGCACACCGGUCCGUUACCCAAAACCGCAACAUAAAAAGAAAAAUUGAAUUUACUUAACAUUAGAAGUGAGAUUGUGAAAUUUAUAUAGUAAAGAAGCGAUUGUAGUGAAAAAGAUAUUAUAAAGUUUAUAUAGUAAAAAAGAGAUACUGUGAAACUUCUAUUGUAACAGAAAAAAAAAUUAAAUAAAAUAUACUAAAGCGUUUCUGCACCCUAAUAAUUGGUGAACAGAAUAAAUAUGGUGAUCGAUCAUGGUAAUUUAACCGCCGGCUUAGUAUUACUUCGUGGGAGCGAAAUGUCUUGUCGCUCCUCCUCUAUUAGCCGGACUAACGCACGCGUAGUCUGUUGGAAAAUUCUUUUUUGGUUUGGAUGAUGAAUCCCACCGCUCCUGCCACAUUUUAGUGCUCUUUUUUCUCUCCCCUGUCCUUGCCGAUACAGUUUUAGGCGCUGAUAGCUGAUAUAAAGGCUCGAGUUCAUCUCCCUGGAUGUCAAUGAGCGGCAUGCUGGCUAAUACUUCAGCAGCGAAGGUUGAUAUCCGGGAAGGACCCGAAUUACAGAAAGUCUAUGCACUGUAAUUACUUGUUUAGCAUACUCUUUUAUAUCUAUUGCUUGUAUCCGUAAUGGUGCCGCAUACAGUAUUACGGAACUCAUUGCUUUCGCUAUUAAGAAUAGUCGGCUGGAACGGAUACAGCCUCUAUUAAUCAUUAUUCUCGAUAGGGCAUUAUAAAUUUUGUUUGCUUUACCGGAAGAAUACACCAGGUGCUCUUUAAAUUUUAAUUUGGAAUCCACUAUUACUCCCAGAUACUUCAGUUGCGGCUGUGGAGUAAUCUCGCACUCCCCUAUGGUAAGCUCUAUUCGUUCUUCUAUCUUCCUAGUGCUUAUGAGUAAAACUUCUUUUUUGUCUUCCGCCAGUUUCAGACUUACAGAAGAGAACCAUUGGCGUAGACCAUUUAAGCACUCAUUUCACAUAUUUCUCAGGUCGGAUAAUUAUUUGGCCACUGCUACCACCAUGAGAUCAUCCGCAUACACUACUAGUUUCACGUCUUUUGGUUGCUCUCUUCUUAGCACCCCGUCAUACAUAAGGUCCCAUAAUAGUCCGUAUCAAAAAUCUGCUUUCUGUUUUUAAAAUAACUCGUUAUGUUUAUGAGGUAUUCAGGAGCCCGUAUGUCAUUCAGGGCUUUGAUUAUGUCUGCCCACUUUGCCGUGUUGAACGCAUUCUUGACAUCCAGGGUAAACAGCACGCAGUACUUUUUGUGCCACCUUUCCAUCUUUUGCCACUUUUCGCAUUAUCGACGACUUCUCGCAGUGCGUCAAUAGUGGAUCUCUUUUUUAUAAAGCCGUAUUGUCUCUCUGAUAAUCCGCCGGCUUUCUGCAUUUCUAACUCCAAGCGGUUGCUUAUGAUAUUUUCGUACACCUUACAAAUUGUGUCGAGAAUACACAGAGGUCGGUACAAUGAAGGCUCUUCAGGUGGUUUGAUUAAAUUAGUACACAGUACUGUCUUAAUUAGAAUAAAAGUCAUUUUUGACAAUAUUAUUUAAUAAACGAAAUAAUAAAUGAUGAAGCUAAUUAAAAUUAAAUGUCGACGAGUAGGGCGGCGAGAAUCCAAUUCCAACUUGCCGGCGUUGGCGUUCUAAUUGAUGUAGAUCGUGGUCGAGCGGUUGUUGCGAAAAACGAAUAUUUGAAAAAAGAUUUCAGCGCACAGGAACCGAGUUGUUGCAACGUUUCUCUUUGAAAGUUUAAGCGAGUGUAACAAAAGCAGCGAUGAUCCAAUCCUUUUGUUAGUUAGAUAGUUGUCAUCCUGCUGUGGUGAAAUACAAUUUGUCUCCAGGUGUGUUGUAUUAGUGCAUGUUCCGAUGUUAAGUGUUUUGUUCUUCUCAGGGGAGUUGAGUUGUGCUAGGGUGCGCCAGUUUUUCACGGAUAGAGUGGGGGAGGCUUAACUCAUUUAAACAUUCUGGGCCCCCUAGGCAAAUAUUUUGCCUAGUAUUAUACGUAUGUAAGUGCGCUAUAUGCGAUUGCAUGUAUAGCGGAGUACUUCUGGUAGUGUACCCGAGAGCGCAGAAUACCUGUAAAUGCUAAAAACGGCUUUGAUUUUAAACAUAUUUGGUAUGCAUUUACUUGUGUUUCUUUGAUAAGUUUACUAUUUGUGGUUUUAUUGAAAACUUCUUUACCAUCGGUUUGUUAAACUGGUUGUUUAUUAAUUAAUUUUGUAAGCUGUAGAUACAUUGUCACGCACAUUGGGAAUAAAAGUACCGCGUUAUUUGAGUAGUAUGAUAUAUUUAUAAUUAUAUCAUUUAUUAAGUCUUUAUAUGUAUUUUUACAACGAUUAUUUUAUUAACAUAAAAUAUUCAAUUAUUUGGGUAACCCACAUAAAGCAGCGUAUGUAUAAUAGAUAGCGCGCCAGAUCGCUUGCUGCGUCAAGCGACAAGAUAUAUAUGUUUAAACAUAAAACUAGAAUUAAGAAAUUUGAAUUAUAAGAAUUGUUAAAUAUUGAGUUAUUAAAAAUCAAAUUAAAAUACUCACCUUAAUAUUGUAUUCAUUAUACCAAUCGAAUACUUACCUUAAUACUUUCCAUAAUCUAUUACAAUAUUUAACGAAAGUUGAAAAUGAUUAUACCUACCCCUUUUUAAUACAUAUUUAUAUUACCACUAGUUUAAGCCGUUAGUUUCAAGAUCUAUGCUUAGCAAUUAGAUUAAGAAAUAAAGAACUCUCUGUUGUUAUUUGAACGUGAAUUCGAA